This 632-nucleotide long non-coding RNA is filed under the name Sinocyclocheilus grahami. Its description in RNAcentral is "lncRNA (ENSSGRG00000050496.1)". Lineage: Eukaryota; Metazoa; Chordata; Actinopteri; Cypriniformes; Cyprinidae. The record is from RNAcentral.
GCUGCCUGCAGCGCUCAGAAUCUGGAAUUACAGAGGAAAGUCUUCCAGCUGGAGAAAACCAACACGUCUCUGAUGGAGCAGUUACGCUGGCUGCAGUCUCUGGUGAUGAACGGCUCCAGUAAACCGGCUCAGACGGGAACCUGCAUCCUGGUGCUGGUCCUCUCUUUCUCUCUCAUUCUCAUCCCGAGCCUCCAGCCCAUCUCACACAGGAGGGCCCCUGACCCCGGGGACUUCAGCGCCAUGAAAGUUCAGUCCAGGUCACUGCGCUCGGUGAUGGAGGUGUAUAGCAUCCAGCCUGGCUACUCAGUCAACAGGGAUGUGGACGUGUCCUCUUCCCCUCACGGCAAGCUUCGGCUCAGGCCCGAGUACGCCGACAUGGACCCUCUACCACAGCUACAGAGACGGCGAGCAUCAUCACGGAGAUCCCAUCACAGGCUACGCCGCCACACUGAGGUGGAUUACGCAUCGUGAGAAAGACAGGAAGUGAUGUCACGGAUUGGCGAACAUUGAAACAGACAUUUGACCAAGGUAUCGCCACUCAUUCCGGCCACAGACAGGAAGUUAGCAGCCAACUGCUAUUUGUUUUGCUUGCUAGGUGCAGGUUUAUCUGAAUAGAUUACACUGCAAUAACA